AUGGGGGGAAAACCCAGAAAUCGGGGGGAAAAUCCCAGAAAUCGGGGGGAAAAUCCCAGAAAUUGGGGGGAAAAACGGGGAAUUUGGGAAAAAUCCAAAAAUGGGGGGAAAAAACGGGAAUUCGGGCAAAAAUCCAAAAAAUGGGGGGAAAAACCGGGAAUUUGGGAAAAAAUCCAAAAAUGGGGGGAAAAACCCAAAAAUCGGGGGGAAAAACGGGGAAUUUGGGGAAAAAUCCAAAAAUGGGAAUCCAAAAAUGGGGGGAAAACCCCAAAAAUCGGGGGGAAAACCCCAAAAAUGGGGGGAAAAACCGGGAAUUUGGGAAAAAAACCCCGGGCUGCAGGUGCCCCCGAAUCCCGGAAAUUGGGGGAAAAAAUGGGGAAUUUGGGAAAAAUCCAAAAAUGGGGGAAAAAACCGGGAAUUUGGGAAAAAAAUCCAAAAAUGGGGGGAAAAUCCCAAAAAUCGGGGGGAAAAUCCCAAAAAUCGGGGGGAAAAACGGGGAAUUUGGGCAAAAUCCCAGAAAUGGGGGGAAAAACCGGGAAUUCGGGCAAAAAUCCCGGGCUGCAGGUGCCCCUGAAUCCCGAAAAUGGGGGGAAAAAUGGGGAAUUUUGGGAAAAAUCAAAAAAUGGGGGGAAAAACCCAAAAAUCGGGGGGAAAAACUGGGAAUUUGGGGUAAAAUCCCAAAAAUCGGGGGGAAAAUCCCAAAAAUGGGGGGAAAAAUGGGGAAUUCGGGCAAAAAUCCCGGGCUGCAGGUGCCCCCGAAUCCUGAAUAUUGGGGGGAAAAAUGGGGAAUUUGGGAAAAAUCCCAAAAAUCGGGGGGAAAACCCCAAAAAUAGGGGGGAAAAUCCCAGAAAUCGGGGGGAAAAUCCCAAAAAUGGGGGGAAAAACGGGGAAUUCGGGCAAAAAUCCCGGGAUGCAGGUGCCCCCGAAUCCGGAAAUGGGGGGAAAAACCGGGAAUUUGGGGAAAAUCCAAAAAUGGGGCGAAAAACCGGGAAUUCGGGCAAAAAUCCCAAAAAUGGGGGGAAAAACCGGGAAUUUGGGAAAAAAUCCAAAAAUGGGGGGAAAAACCCAAAAAUCGGGGGGAAAACCCCAAAAAUCGGGGGGAAAAUUCCAAAAAUGGGGGGAAGAACGGGGAAUUCGGGCAAAAAUCCCGGGCUGCAGGUGCCCCCGAAUCCCGGAAAUUGGGGGGGAAAAUGGGGAAUUUGGGAAAAAUCCAAAAAUGGGGGGAAAACCCCAAAAAUCGGGGGGAAAAACCGGGAAUUCGGGCAAAAAUCCCGGGCUGCAGGUGCCCCCGAAUCCAGAAUAUUGGGGGAAAAAUCCCAAAAAUCAGGGGGAAAAACCGGGAAUUUGGGCAAAAAUCCCGGGCUGCAGGUGCCCCUGAAUCCGGAAAUGGGGGGAAAAACCGGGAAUUCGGGAAAAAAAUCCAAAAAUGGGGGGGAAAACGGGGAAUUUGGGAAAAAUUCCGGCUUCUACUCUAUUUUUUGGGGAUAUUUGGGAACAUUUUGGGAUAUUUUGGGAUAUUUUGGGAUGAUUUUGGGAUGGUUUUGGGAACGUUUUGGGGCCAUUUUUGGGAUAUUUUGGGAAUAUUUUUGGGAAUGUUUUGGGAACAUUUUGGGAAUGUUUUUUGGGAUAUUUUGGGAAUGUUUUGGGAACAUUUUGGGAAUAUUUGGGGAUGAUUUUGGGAUAUUUUGGGAUGGUUUUGGACCAUUUUGGGACCAUUUUGGGCCGUUUUUGGGCCAUUUUGGGACCAUUUUGGGGCCAUUUGGGGCCAUUUGGGGCCAUUUUGGGGCCAUUUUGGGACCAUUUUGGGACCAUUUUGAGCCAUUUUGGGCCAUUUUGGGACCAUAUUGGGCCAUUUUGGGUCAUUUUGGGACCAUUUUGGACCGUUUUGGGCCAUUUUGGGCCAUUUUGGGCCAUUUUGGGACCAUUUUGGGCCAUUUUGGGCCGUUUUUGGACCAUUUUGGGACCAUUUUGGGCCAUUUUGGGCCAUUUUGGGCCGUUUUCGGACCAUUUUGGGCCAUUUUGGGACCAUUUUGGGACCAUUUUGGGCCAUUUUGGGACCAUUUUGGGCCAUUUUGGGGCCAUUUUGGGCCAUUUUGGGACCAUUUUGGGCCAUUUUGGGCCGUUUUGGGCCAUUUUGGGCCGUUUUUGGACCAUUUUGGGUCGUUUCCAGGGCCACUGGCCGUUGCUGGCUCGGGAUCGCAGCGGGAGCCGAGUCCUGGACGCCGCCUGGGCCAGCGGCCGCCCCCGGCAGCGAGCNNNNNNNNNNNNNNNNNNNNUCCCAGAAAUCGGGGGGAAAAACGGGGAAUUUGGGAAAAAUCCAAAAAUGGGGGGAAAACCCCAAAAAUCGGGGGGAAAACCCCAAAAAUCGGGGGGAAAACCCCAAAAAUGGGGGGAAAAACUGGGAAUUUGGGGUAA
This 2415-nucleotide long non-coding RNA is filed under the name Cyanistes caeruleus (blue tit). RNAcentral describes it as "lncRNA (ENSCCEG00000003711.1)". The record is from RNAcentral. Lineage: Eukaryota; Metazoa; Chordata; Aves; Passeriformes; Paridae.